RNAcentral lists this ribosomal RNA (458 nucleotides) under uncultured bacterium. RNAcentral describes it as "partial 16S ribosomal RNA". It matches the Rfam family "Bacterial small subunit ribosomal RNA", at positions 338 to 795 of the family's 1533-position model. The record is from RNAcentral.
CCUACGGGUGGCAGCAGUGAGGAAUAUUGGUCAAUGGGCGAGAGCCUGAACCAGCCAAGUCGCGUGAGGGAGUACUGCCCUAUGGGUUGUAAACCUCUUUUGUCGGGGAGCAAAAGCCGGACGUGUCCGGCUGUGAGAGUACCCGAAGAAAAAGCAUCGGCUAACUCCGUGCCAGCAGCCGCGGUAAUACGGAGGAUGCGAGCGUUAUCCGGAUUUAUUGGGUUUAAAGGGUGCGUAGGCGGACAGUCAAGUCAGCGGUAAAAAUGCGGUGCUCAACGCCGUACAGCCGUUGAAACUGGCAGUCUUGAGUGGGCGAGAAGUAUGCGGAAUGCGUGGUGUAGCGGUGAAAUGCAUAGAUAUCACGCAGAACUCCGAUUGCGAAGGCAGCAUACCGGCGCCCGACUGACGCUGAGGCACGAAAGCGUGGGUAUCGAACAGGAUUAGAUACCCUGGUAGUC